UGUGGGUUCUCCUAUGAGUUGCUGUCUGAGCUGUUGGUUCUCCUGGAGAAGCUUUGGUCUUCAUAUCGAGCAUGGUUUCCUGGCUCUGGAGGGGAAGACAUGUGCUGCUUGGUCUCCAGGAUAAACUCCUCAUGCUCCUUCCUGUGCACGUACUCCGACUGUUGUGGAGGAGCUCAGGGCCUCCGUGUCACUGAGGACAGCUGUGGUGCAUUUCAGGACAGCCCUGCUCUUUGUUGAACUCCACCAAUAUUGGAGAUGCUAAAGUAAGAAAAAAGUAUUUCCUGUCUGGAAGAAACAGCUCAAGCAUGAACUGUGAACAUGAAUGAAGACUUUAAGGGCAGUAAUAUAUAAAAGAAACACAUAGAAAAAAUGAUGAUGUAACAUAGUUUUACUCAUAUUACCCCCACCCCCAAAAGUACCAUGAGAAGACUGAAGGAUCAGUACCUGUGGGGAUCCAGGUGAAAAACAGCACCACAAGAAGAUCCUGAAACCAGCUGUCAUGGUUUAUGUCUAUGGCCCCCAGGCCUCAUGAGUUUGCAUUGUUUCUGAUAAUUCAUUGUAUAGUGCUUGGAUUGAUAGUGUCAGUGCUCCACCCACAUAGGGAUGGAGCCAGGAUGUGAUGUAAUGGCAGGAAGAAGGUAUAUCUUGCUCUUUUCUGGCUCCUGCUUGCUGUUGGUGGCCAUCAUGAACUGUGGCCCAGCCAUGCCUGUCUGCCUUGGAGCCAACUGAGUGUGGACUGAAACCUCCAAAAACUGUAAGAAAUAAACCUUUCCUUUCCCAA
This is a long non-coding RNA of Cavia porcellus (domestic guinea pig), 781 nucleotides long. RefSeq lists it as uncharacterized. NCBI's taxonomy places the organism in Eukaryota, Metazoa, Chordata, Mammalia, Rodentia, Caviidae. The transcript is spliced from 2 exons. The record is from RefSeq and is a predicted model, not a curated record.